Molecule: ribosomal RNA, 1369 nt
Filed under: uncultured bacterium
Lineage: Bacteria
Description: bacterial SSU rRNA
Rfam family: Bacterial small subunit ribosomal RNA
Source: RNAcentral
GACGAACGCUGGCGGCGUGCCUAAUACAUGCAAGUAGAACGCUGAAGAGAGGAGCUUGCUCUUCUUGGAUGAGUUGCGAACGGGUGAGUAACGCGUAGGUAACCUGCCUUGUAGCGGGGGAUAACUAUUGGAAACGAUAGCUAAUACCGCAUAACAAUGGAUGACACAUGUCAUUUAUUUGAAAGGGGCAAUUGCUCCACUACAAGAUGGACCUGCGUUGUAUUAGCUAGUAGGUGAGGUAACGGCUCACCUAGGCGACGAUACAUAGCCGACCUGAGAGGGUGAUCGGCCACACUGGGACUGAGACACGGCCCAGACUCCUACGGGAGGCAGCAGUAGGGAAUCUUCGGCAAUGGGGGCAACCCUGACCGAGCAACGCCGCGUGAGUGAAGAAGGUUUUCGGAUCGUAAAGCUCUGUUGUAAGUCAAGAACGAGUGUGAGAGUGGAAAGUUCACACUGUGACGGUAGCUUACCAGAAAGGGACGGCUAACUACGUGCCAGCAGCCGCGGUAAUACGUAGGUCCCGAGCGUUGUCCGGAUUUAUUGGGCGUAAAGCGAGCGCAGGCGGUUUGAUAAGUCUGAAGUUAAAGGCUGUGGCUCAACCAUAGUUCGCUUUGGAAACUGUCAAACUUGAGUGCAGAAGGGGAGAGUGGAAUUCCAUGUGUAGCGGUGAAAUGCGUAGAUAUAUGGAGGAACACCGGUGGCGAAAGCGGCUCUCUGGUCUGUAACUGACGCUGAGGCUCGAAAGCGUGGGGAGCGAACAGGAUUAGAUACCCUGGUAGUCCACGCCGUAAACGAUGAGUGCUAGGUGUUGGAUCCUUUCCGGGAUUCAGUGCCGCAGCUAACGCAUUAAGCACUCCGCCUGGGGAGUACGACCGCAAGGUUGAAACUCAAAGGAAUUGACGGGGGCCCGCACAAGCGGUGGAGCAUGUGGUUUAAUUCGAAGCAACGCGAAGAACCUUACCAGGUCUUGACAUCCCGAUGCUAUUUCUAGAGAUAGAAAGUUACUUCGGUACAUCGGUGACAGGUGGUGCAUGGUUGUCGUCAGCUCGUGUCGUGAGAUGUUGGGUUAAGUCCCGCAACGAGCGCAACCCCUAUUGUUAGUUGCCAUCAUUCAGUUGGGCACUCUAGCGAGACUGCCGGUAAUAAACCGGAGGAAGGUGAGGAUGACGUCAAAUCAUCAUGCCCCUUAUGACCUGGGCUACACACGUGCUACAAUGGUUGGUACAACGAGUUGCGAGUCGGUGACGGCAAGCUAAUCUCUUAAAGCCAAUCUCAGUUCGGAUUGUAGGCUGCAACUCGCCUACAUGAAGUCGGAAUCGCUAGUAAUCGCGGAUCAGCACGCCGCGGUGAAUACGUUCCCGGGCCC